UACACCAUAAGAUGUCUGCCAGAAUUGGUUUCCAGGAACUUGGAGUCAGCUGUGUCUAGUUGGAGCUGAGCUGGUUAAGAUUGGAAAGGACCCCAGACCCUCCAGCUGGGCAGGCAUGAGUGGCUGCUCUGUUACCUUCGAGGCCAGUAGAUGAGUUACGCCUGCGCAGAACAGAUCGUCACACCUUUUUCCGAUUACCCCUCCCCAGGCUUCCCAUGCAAAUAAAUUUCUCUUUGCUACAGGCCUCUGCCUUUCAGCAUUUGGGCAGGAGAGCCAUCAGGUAGGAGCAGAGCUUUCUUCUCUGGUGUGGGGCUUUGCAAGAGUAGCCUGAGACUUUCCAAGUGUUCUAUACAGCCCAACAGUGGAGGGAUGUGAGGAGCCAGACCUUCUGCUGAACCUUCCUGUUCCCCUGGGCUGGCUUGAAACUUCAAAGGUGCCUUUUAUCAGGUUGAGGAAACUCACUUCUAUUCCUAGACUGCUGAGAACUCAUUUGACUUCAUGUAGAAUUUGGUCAAAUACUUGUUCUACAUCUAUUGAGAUGAUCAUAUGAUUUUGCUGUGUAGUAAAUAUGUAAAAAUGAUAUAAAUUGGUUUUUGAAUGUGAAAACAAUCCUGGGAUAUAUUCUAUUUGGUCAUAAUGCAAUUUCCUUUUGAUAAACUGUUUAAAAUGAUUUCUUAGUAUUUUGUUAAGGAUUUUUGCCUCUGUAUUAACAGGGAUGUGGGUGUGUAGUUUUUGUUUCUUGUAAUGUCACUAGAUUUUCCUACCAGGUUAAUGCUGUCUUCACAGAUGAAGACAGGAGGUGUGUGCUCCUCUUUGAUUUUCUGCAUGAGUUUGUGCAGUAUUUGUACAACUUCCUUCCUUAAAUUUUUGGUAGAAUUUGCCAGUCAAGCCAUCUGGGCCUGGAGUCCUCUUUGUGGGAAGAUUUUUAACUAGAAAUUUAAUUUCAUUUUUGUUAUUGGGCUAAGCAGGUUAUCUAUUUAUUCUUUAGUGAAUUUUGGAUAUGUCAUUUUCAUCAAAGUUUUCAAGUUCUUUGGCAUAAAGUUCAUAAUACUUCCUUUUCAUCCUUUUAAUCUAGAAUUUGUAAGAAUAAUAUUUUCUCUCUCAUUCUUGGUAAUUUGUCCCCCCUCUUUUAUUCUUCCAUCUAUCUAGAUAGAGGCUUAUCAAUUGUGUUAAUCUUUUAAGGAAUCAGAUUCUGAUUUCAUUGAUCUAUUCAACUGCUUUUCUGUUUUCUAUGCCAUUGAUUUCUGUCUUUUCUGCUUGGUUUGGAUUUAAUUUUAUUCUUUUUCUAAUUUCUUAAGGUGGAAGCUUAGAUGACUGUGCCUUCUAUUCUUUUCUAGUAGAAGCAUUUCCUGUUAUAAAUUUUCUUAUAUGCAUGUUUACUGCACACUGCAACUUCUGAUCUUGCAUUUUCAUUUUUAUUUAGUUCUUCAUAUUUUAUACUUGUAAAUUUUUACUUAGAAGUGUGUUGUCUAAUUUCCAAUAAUACUUCUUAAGGGGGAUUUUCCAGAUGUAUUUCUGUUAUUGAUUUCUAGUUUAAUUCUUUUGUAGUCAGAGAAAACCACUUGGUUUGCAUUUAUUUUGAAUUUGAGGGUUGUUUUAUGGCCCAUAAUAUGGUUUCUCGUCAUGAAUGUCCCAUGUGUUGAUGUACUAUUGUUGAAUGGGAUGCAUUUGUUCACUAGAAGAGAGGAGCUUCUGCUUUUUAUUGCCUUUUUUGUUUUUUGAUUCAGAGACGAAGUCAAUAUUGUGGUUGUUCUAAUAAGCCCUCCUGAUGAUCUUAAAAAAAAUCUGUUCUAAGCUGACGUUUUCACGUCUUCAAGGCUAAUUUUAAGCUUGCACAGAGAUUUGAAUAACUCCUUGCCCUUCCUUUUCUUUUUCACCGUGUUAUGAAAUGUCUUGCUGACACCUUCUUAUGUUAUUAAAACCAGGCUUGAGUUUAUUUAAUCUUAUGUAUUUAUCUUAUUUAUUUAUUUGCUGUG
Non-coding RNA from Sus scrofa (pig), 1976 nucleotides. The record is from RefSeq and is a predicted model, not a curated record. Lineage: Eukaryota; Metazoa; Chordata; Mammalia; Artiodactyla; Suidae.